GUUCAGAGAAGUUGAAAAGGUUGGAUCUUUCGUCUUUUUAUACUGCUGAGAGGGAAUUGUAUUUGGAGCUUGAUUGUCCUAAUCUAGUUUGGUUGGGCAUUGAUUGCUUUGAGAUGGGGCAGUUUUGUGUUAAGAAUCUGUCUUCAUUGAUUGAACUCCGUACUUCUAUUGUGCAUAAAUUGAAGUACUAUGGACACUAGUUUAAAGUUGUGAAGCAACUUCAUCGAAUUGCACACAUCAAGCAUCUCGCGGUGCAAAAAUUGUGGCGUAAGGGUUUGAAUCGUCUUAGAGUGACUGUGGGAAAGUGCAUUAUCUAGAGGUGGAAGAAAGACUAAGAAUAAUGUUCCCUGGCUUGCUAAGAAAUGUUGAGAUAAGUCGGACUGGCAAAGUCUCUGGGUUACAUUUGAGAUUUUCAUGAAAUGUUUUGUUCAUCAUCCUUACGAGGUUUGUUUUCUGCUGGAUAGAUCAUCUUAAAGGAGCUGAUCAGCCGGAAUGGCUAUGUGACAUUUUUGUCAGUAAAAUUUCCCUAGCAACUAAAUGAACUCUAAGCUCACAAAAUUGUAAUCAAUGCUCUGAUAUGUCCUUUAGGAAACCAGAGGUCGAGGACAUGGUAACAGCUCAGUUCCAUUCUAUAAUCCUUCUCUGCAUUCAUUAUAUUGCCUAUCCAUUUUUGAGGAUCCAUUUUGAGUACCAGAGAUUCACUGUGUGGACUGUGAAGCCAUUCAUGUGGCCAGAAUCUAGGAAAUUAUGUGGAAUGUGUUUUGUAUAAUAUGUUUGGCUAUCAGAUUCUUUCCACAAAGUAGUGAAAAGGGCUCUGCGUUGCCUGUUGAAUACUUUUUUUAA
Molecule: long non-coding RNA, 843 nt
Organism: Populus euphratica (Euphrates poplar)
Lineage: Eukaryota; Viridiplantae; Streptophyta; Magnoliopsida; Malpighiales; Salicaceae
Exons: 2
Source: RefSeq, a predicted model, not a curated record